This 164-nucleotide ribosomal RNA is filed under the name uncultured bacterium. RNAcentral describes it as "partial 16S rRNA". It matches the Rfam family "Bacterial small subunit ribosomal RNA", at positions 355 to 511 of the family's 1533-position model. The record is from RNAcentral.
UAGGGAACCUUCCACAAUGGACGAAAGUCUGAUGGAGCAACGCCGCGUGAGUGAAGAAGGGUUUCGGCUCGUAAAACUCUGUUGUUAAAGAAGAACAUAUCUGAGAGUAACUGUUCAGGUAUUGACGGUAUUUAACCAGAAAGCCACGGCUAACUACGUGCCAC